UGAUGAUUGAUAGGAUUGUAUUUGAUGAAUCUUCCUGUUUGGCAGGAAAAUUAUGCAUGAAAUGAUGCAUGUGAUGCAUGUGGGAAUGCAGUUGGGUAAUUGGAUGUUUUUGUAGGGUUUUAUUCUGGAUUGCCAAUGAGGUUGGACUUGAAGGAUAUGUUACCAGACGAGAACUGGUGGAAAUAAUUGAAAUGCCAGAUGGGACUGAAUUUGUUUUUGUUUGUCAGA
This 228-nucleotide long non-coding RNA is filed under the name Lathyrus oleraceus (garden pea). RNAcentral describes it as "Pisum sativum (pea) long non-coding RNA (PSAT_LNC038574)". Lineage: Eukaryota; Viridiplantae; Streptophyta; Magnoliopsida; Fabales; Fabaceae. The record is from RNAcentral.